Molecule: long non-coding RNA, 2160 nt
Filed under: Mustela putorius furo (domestic ferret)
Lineage: Eukaryota; Metazoa; Chordata; Mammalia; Carnivora; Mustelidae
Description: lncRNA (ENSMPUG00000028980.1)
Source: RNAcentral
CCUCAAUGAAUCAGACUUAUAAACCCCCCAAUGCAGGCAUUUAUCCUAUCUCCCUGACCUGUUAUAAUGGCUCCCCUGCUAUUACUCCCUUUUAAGGCUAAUUCCUCCAGUUGGGCUUUGAAUCACCUAUAAAUAGGUAAAAUACAUUAUUUUAGAAAGCAUAUUAAAUAGUAAUAAGUGCUAAAAACAAAAUAAACAAAGGAUGGAAAGGCAACAUGAAAUGAUGUCAGACUAUGAAAUUUUAAUUAAGAUGUCCAGGGAUGAUCUCACUGGGAAGGUAACUAUAUAGUGAAGAACUAAAAGAAAUGAGAAAUUCAGGUAUGUGGAUAUCUGAAGGGAGAAGGCAUGCCUGGCAUGUUUGAGACCAAAGUAACUAAAACAGAGAGAAUGAAGGGGAAGAUGUUAAGAGAUGAAAUCAGAGAUUUAUCAGGGAACCAGAUCACUUAAGUCAUUUGUCAACAUAGUAGUUUUGUUUUUACAUUGAGUGAUGUGGAAACCUAAUGAAGUGUUUUUGUAAAGAAGAAUAAUAAGAAAAUAACUAUACUUUUUAGAUAGAAGAUAAAUUUUGGAGGACUAGAGGUAGAAGCCAGAAGGCUAGUGAGGGACUAAUGCAGUAAUUCAGGACAUGAAAAAUGGUGUCCAGGAUGUAAAGAGUGGAGUGGGAAGAAGUUGUUAAUUUUGGGUAUAAUUUCAUGCAGAACCAAGAGAAUUUGUUGAAGCAAUAGUCGUGAAGAAUGAGAAAGAAAGGGAAAACAAAGCAAAAAAAAAUACUAUCAAGAUGUAUGAAGGAAUUGAAUUACUGUUUAACUGAGAUGGGAAUGACUACAGAAGGAGCCACAAGUUUAAUGGCGAGAGGUCGAUAUCAGGAGGUGAACAACCAGGACAGCAUGGUUUCUGCAUUUCCAGCUCUAACAGUCUGUAAUUCUAUGAUGGCAACCAUUUGGGGUCUGGUGAUGUCACUGACAUCUGGAGAAGAGAAAAACAAGGCCACAGGAACCAGUUUGGAGAAUGAGAUCAAUUGGCAUACGAUUCCUGGUAAUUUCUACACCCAACAUGGGGUUCAAACUCAUGACCCUGGGAUCAAGAGUUGUAUGCUCUUCCGACUGAGCCAGCCAGAUCCUACGUUGUUUCCCCAGCCUUGCGAUUGUCCUUCUACAGUCACACAUCAGGGACAUGUCCUCACCGCUGGUCUCUCAUCUAUCUUACAACUGACCGGCUCCAAAAAUAUUUCUGCUGACAAACUUCACUUUGUGUCAUAAAUAUUGAAUAAGUUUUCAAGGAGUUGUUGAUUAUAUAGCGAGAGAUGGUUUGUGAAUUUGGGGGCAAGCAUGUAUGUAGAUACUGAUGACAUGACAUCACGGAAGUAUGUGGGCGUAGUGUCCUGUCAAAUCCUACCAUUGCUAUUCAGCUUGGAUUCUGUUUUUACAUGGGUUGAAAGUUACUUUACAAACAUCUGUACACAUUUCAUAUGUGUUUGUUUAUUUUCUUAUGUUACCUUAUUUUGAGGAAGGAGAUUUGAGUUUUAAUUUUUUUUUCCAUUUAAUCCUGUCAUCUGGUCUCCUCUAAAGUUCCUACUUAAAUGUUUUCUGAGAUAAUAAAAACACAUCAGCCGUUCUUUAUUUUUAAGUCAAAUUCCUGAUCAUCCCUCGUAAUUAUGUAAAUUUUUUAAAAUCUGAUUUUUAUUUUGCUUUUUCUAAUCUAGUAAAUUCUUAAUUAAUGCCUAUGCAUAUAACCUAUUUCAUAUUUUUAAAUAACUGUGGUUUUUUUGGUAAGUGCUUAAUAAAACAACCAAUUAAUCAACCAACAAACAAAUAAGUAAAUAAAGAUAAAUAAAUUGACUGACUAAAAAGGGCCUUUGGCUAAGGGAAACCCAAUACUAUUUUGGCGUUCUUGAAUGAGUUCACAUGAGAAAUUUAGAUCCAUGCAGAACAUAAGCUGAGUUUAGCAACCAAAGCCUGACAUUCUGGCAAUUUCACCAGACUUGUAAAAGCUGUUAUUUUUGACUAACUAAAUGAAAUUUGCAUUGAUUACCUAAACAGACUGACAUUCAUUUGCGUGAACAUGAUGAAUCUACAGCAAGCACACAAGCCAAGUAGCAUGUUCUUUGGAAAAUAGUUUCUGUGUGAAAUUAAUAAAUUCUUUUCCUCUUUUCAACAUGGG